UUAAAUUGAAGAGUUUGAUCAUGGUUAAGAUUGAAAGGUGGCGGGAGGCCUAAAAAAUGCA
RNAcentral lists this ribosomal RNA (61 nucleotides) under Escherichia coli. RNAcentral describes it as "partial 16S ribosomal RNA". Lineage: Bacteria; Pseudomonadati; Pseudomonadota; Gammaproteobacteria; Enterobacterales; Enterobacteriaceae. The record is from RNAcentral.